Molecule: microRNA, 22 nt
Filed under: Anopheles gambiae (African malaria mosquito)
Lineage: Eukaryota; Metazoa; Arthropoda; Insecta; Diptera; Culicidae
Description: aga-miR-932-3p
Gene: aga-miR-932-3p
Source: miRBase by way of RNAcentral
UGCAAGCAUUGUGGGAGUGAAG